RNAcentral lists this ribosomal RNA (301 nucleotides) under uncultured bacterium. RNAcentral describes it as "partial 16S ribosomal RNA". It matches the Rfam family "Bacterial small subunit ribosomal RNA", at positions 509 to 807 of the family's 1533-position model. The record is from RNAcentral.
CAGCAGCCGCGGUAAUACGUAGGUGGCAAGCGUUGUCCGGAAUUAUUGGGCGUAAAGGGCUCGCAGGCGGUUUCUUAAGUCUGAUGUGAAAGCCCCCGGUUCAACCGGGGAGGGUCAUUGGAAACUGGGAAACUUGAGUGCAGAAGAGGAGAGUGGAAUUCCACGUGUAGCGGUGAAAUGCGUAGAGAUGUGGAGGAACACCAGUGGCGAAGGCGACUCUCUGGUCUGUAACUGACGCUGAGGAGCGAAAGCGUGGGGAGCGAACAGGAUUAGAUACCCCGGUAGUCCCUGUCUCUUAUAC